RNAcentral lists this ribosomal RNA (486 nucleotides) under uncultured bacterium. Its description in RNAcentral is "partial 16S ribosomal RNA". It matches the Rfam family "Bacterial small subunit ribosomal RNA", at positions 28 to 523 of the family's 1533-position model. The record is from RNAcentral.
GACGAACGCUGGCGGCGUGCUUAACACAUGCAAGUCGAACGCUGAAGCACCAGCUUGCUGGUGUGGAUGAGUGGCGAACGGGUGAGUAAUACGUGAGUAACCUGCCCUUGACUCUGGGAUAAGCCCGGGAAACUGGGUCUAAUACUGGAUGCUACAUGUCACCGCAUGGUGGUGUGUGGAAAGGGUUUACUGGUCUUGGAUGGGCUCACGGCCUAUCAGCUUGUUGGUGAGGUAAUGGCUCACCAAGGCGACGACGGGUAGCCGGCCUGAGAGGGUGACCGGCCACACUGGGACUGAGACACGGCCCAGACUCCUACGGGAGGCAGCAGUGGGGAAUAUUGCACAAUGGGCGAAAGCCUGAUGCAGCGACGCCGCGUGAGGGAUGACGGCCUUCGGGUUGUAAACCUCUUUCAGCAGGGAAGAAGCCACAAGUGACGGUACCUGCAGAAGAAGCGCCGGCUAACUACGUGCCAGCAGCCGCCGCAG